GACCUGAUGGUGCAAUGGUUAGCAUACCUGCUAUACUUAAAAUAAUUGGACGAUAAUUAAGCAGGAGAUCCCCGUUCGACUCGAGGUCGGGUCA
This is a non-coding RNA of Mycena crocata, 94 nucleotides long. NCBI's taxonomy places the organism in Eukaryota, Fungi, Basidiomycota, Agaricomycetes, Agaricales, Mycenaceae. The record is from the annotation of a GenBank genome assembly.